CGAGGCGAACCGGGGGAACUGAAACAUCUCAGUACCCCGAGGAAAAGAAAUCAACCGAGAUUCCCCCAGUAGCGGCGAGCGAACGGGGAGCAGCCCAGAGUCAACAUCAAUAUUUACCGCAGGAGAAGGGUCUGGAAAGGCCAGCAAUAAAGGGUGAUAGCCCCGUAUCUGAAACGGUAAGUGUUGUGAACUCGAAGAGUAGGGCGGGACACGUGUUAUCCUGUCUGAAUAUGGGGGGACCAUCCUCCAAGGCUAAAUACUCCUGACUGACCGAUAGUGAACCAGUACCGUGAGGGAAAGGCGAAAAGAACCCCGGCGAGGGGAGUGAAAUAGAACCUGAAACCGUGUACGUACAAGCAGUGGGAGCACCCGAAAGGGUGUGUCUGCGUACCUUUUGUAUAAUGGGUCAGCGACUUAUAUUCUGUAGCAAGGUUAACCGCAUAGGGGAGCCGUAGGGAAACCGAGUCUUAACUGGGCGUUAAGUUGCAGGGUAUAGACCCGAAACCCGGUGAUCUAGCCAUGGGCAGGUUGAAG
This 534-nucleotide ribosomal RNA is filed under the name uncultured Arsenophonus sp. Its description in RNAcentral is "partial 23S ribosomal RNA". It matches the Rfam family "Bacterial large subunit ribosomal RNA", at positions 175 to 750 of the family's 2925-position model. The record is from RNAcentral. Lineage: Bacteria; Pseudomonadati; Pseudomonadota; Gammaproteobacteria; Enterobacterales; Morganellaceae.